UCGGGAAUUUUGGGCAAUGGGCGAAAGCCUGACCCAGCAACGCCGCGUGAGGGAUGAAGUAUUUCGGUAUGUAAACCUCGAAAGAAUGGGAAGAAUAAAUGACGGUACCAUUUAUAAGCUCCGGCUAACUACGUGCCAGCAGCCGCGGUAAUACGUAGGGAGCAAGCGUUGUUCGGAUUUACUGGGCGUAAAGGGCGCGUAGGCGGCGCGGUAAGUCACUUGUGAAAUCUCGGAGCUUAACUCAGAACGGCCAAGUGAUACUGCUGGGCUAGAGUGCGGAAGAGGCAACCGGAAUUCUUGGUGUAGCGGUGAAAUGCGUAGAUAUCAAGAGGAACACCUGAGGCGAAGGCGGGUUGCUGGGCCGACACUGACGCUGAUGCGCGAAAGCCAGGGGAGCAAACG
RNAcentral lists this ribosomal RNA (402 nucleotides) under uncultured bacterium. Its description in RNAcentral is "bacterial SSU rRNA". It matches the Rfam family "Bacterial small subunit ribosomal RNA", at positions 355 to 774 of the family's 1533-position model. The record is from RNAcentral.